RNAcentral lists this ribosomal RNA (543 nucleotides) under uncultured bacterium. RNAcentral's name for it is "bacterial SSU rRNA". It matches the Rfam family "Bacterial small subunit ribosomal RNA", at positions 44 to 583 of the family's 1533-position model. The record is from RNAcentral.
CCCCUUAAUUUUUGCAAGGAAAACCCAGCUUAAGGUAGCAAUAUCUUAAGUGCGGUGGUUCACGGGUGAGUAACACCCCGGUAAUAUGCCUUUAGGUCUGACAUAAUCCCGCGAAAGCGGGACUAAAAUCAGAUGAUGCAGCGGCUCGACAUCGAGACAGUUGUUAAACCUUCGGGGCCUAAAGAUGAGCCUGCGUCUGAUUAGGUAGUUGGCGGAGUAAAAGCCCACCAAGCCUGCGAUCAGUAGCUGGUCUGAGAGGAUGAUCGGCCACACUGGAACUGAGACACGGUCCAGACUCCUACGGGAGGCAGCAGUAAGGAAUAUUGCUCAAUGGCCGAAAGGCUGAAGCAGCAACGCCGCGUGGAGGAUGAAAUACUUUUGUAUGUAAACUCCUGUAAGAGGGGAAAAAUAUACAGUUUAUACUGUGUUUGAUUGUACCCUCAGAGUAAGCACCCGGCUAACUACGUUCCAACAGCCGCGGUAAUACGUAGGGUGCUAAAGUUGUCCGGAUUACUGGGUGUAAAGGGUGCUUAGGUGGGUUUG